RNAcentral lists this long non-coding RNA (1275 nucleotides) under Astyanax mexicanus (Mexican tetra). Its description in RNAcentral is "lncRNA (ENSAMXG00005014062.1)". The record is from RNAcentral. Lineage: Eukaryota; Metazoa; Chordata; Actinopteri; Characiformes; Acestrorhamphidae.
AGUAUUUCCCACAUCUGAAGAGCUGGAGUACCACUCAGCUACAGACAUUACUACACUUUAAACACAAAAACCUCUCAGCCAGCCGAGGAGCUUCUGAUCCAGACUGAAGAGAAACAGGAUGAUGUCUUCCUCCUGGUGUUUUGGCUUUGCUGUCCUCCUCUUUGCCAUGUUUAUUCUGACACAUGCUAUAGAGGUCAACAGUAAAUCUGUUAAAAAUACUGCAAGUGACCAACAUGACAAUCCUGUCAUCCGUUCCAAGUCAGAGAAACUGGGGCUUCAGAGGAAGCUGGAUGGACUGAAUGCAGUGCGACGGAGUGGUAGGCCUCAGAAUGUUCGUAUUGUGAUUCAGAGCCAGUAUGAAAGGCCUGAGGUGGAGGGUCUUACCCCAGUGCGUUUAGAGGUGGGUCCUGGAGACAAGAGGAGGAGGACGCAUCUGAGGAAGAAGAGUCCUCAGUCUGGAUACAGAGAGCUUGAAAGGCAUAAAACUAAGGCUGUAAACGGCAGAGAACCUGAGCUAGCAGUGAAGGAGCAGGAGGUUUCCACAGUGCAGAUGACGCCCCUGAAGGAAGGAGAUGAUUCAGAUAAAAACAUGGUAUUUACUAUUGGCAUGGCACUGUUAGACAAUGAUGUUGAUAAGGCUGUGAUACAUAAGGCAGAUACACAGCAGCAGCCGUCUAAAAACACAGGAAGACUGCAGACAAGGAGCUCCAGCAGUGGGAAGAAAAUGACACCUUCUAAAUCUUCUGUGAUCAUCAUUUGGACUGUGUCCCAGGUUCCUGCUGCAACCUCAGAAAACACCUUUGUGAACCUCACAGCCGGGGCCUCAACAAUAAAUGCUAUGAUGACUGUAUGUGUGAAGAAGGGCUCCGGUGUUUUGCUAAAUUUCAUCACAAUCAUCGAGUCAUUCACAAAAAGGGACGCUGUGUUGAUCCUGAGUUUUUAAACAAUGUACAUGCACCGUCAUACACUGCUGUCUGACAGAAACACAUGUUCUCACUUUAAUGUAUAAAAUGUUUGGCAUUGUGUUUUUCUAGUGUUUGGCCGUGUAUUUUACUUGGUUUGGCAUACCCUACAUAAUUACCAAGAGCAAGCCUACUGACCAGCAUGACCAACCUGGUUGCCCAGUUAAAUUACUACUUAUUAAUAGUUAUUGCCGUUCUAUUUUUAAUAUUAUAAAAGAAUUAUAAAAUAAUUUAUUCCAGCAAUUAAUACUCUGUUGGGUGUGAAAGACUCAAAUCAAUCAAAUAAAUGCAUAGGCACUAAUAAUAUGGACCA